CAACCCUUUCUUCCCCUCCUCCGUCCUCAAAUCUGGUCUCUGGUUUUUGAUUGAAGUUGAAAGUCGUAAAAAGCUUUCUUCAACUUUUAGGGAAGGCUUCUUUAUCUGGUCAUUGCGGAUCAAUUCAAUUCCCAAAUGACUCGUUCCCUUGAAGCAAAAUCGAUCGUGUUGCUUUUUUUCUUUAAUUUCUCCCUCAAAUUUUUGCUACUUUGGGCAGAUUGAGAAAGAGCAACUAGAUUUCUUGAAUCGUGAAUUUCAGUUUAUUAUUUUAUUUUUUGAAGGCUUUAUAAAUCGUAUUCAACAUGCACUUAAUUUGAUUUUGUGUGUGUUUUUUUCAAGAGAAGCCGAGAAAGAUGUUCUCCUCGCUAUCUAAUGCUGCAUUUCUGUGUGGUAUUUGGACGUCGGAGAACUAAAUUUCUUCCCCUUUUUAUCAAACAAUGCUUCCUCUUUUAUUUUUUCUUAUGUAACAAAAACUGGACUUGAAAUAGUCGAUGAACUUGUAUAAGCUCUGGAACUGUAAAGACCAUGAAAACCCAGAAUCCUAUGAGCAAACCCAAUAAAUAUUUUUUAAAUAUUUAUAUAAAAUUGUAAAUAAAGAACAGAAAAAGGCUACGAAGAUGCUGGUAAUUUUGGGAUGAAAAGAGAAGGCUAGAGAGAACGGAAGAAAUGACAAAGGACCUUGUUGGUUUGUUUUAGUUUGUUGAUUG
Molecule: long non-coding RNA, 707 nt
Filed under: Prunus dulcis (almond)
Lineage: Eukaryota; Viridiplantae; Streptophyta; Magnoliopsida; Rosales; Rosaceae
Description: sRNA ncRNA
Rfam family: Small nucleolar RNA snoR136 (bases 279-417)
Source: RNAcentral